RNAcentral lists this ribosomal RNA (890 nucleotides) under Epicoccum latusicollum. RNAcentral's name for it is "partial 28S ribosomal RNA". It matches the Rfam family "Eukaryotic large subunit ribosomal RNA", at positions 56 to 964 of the family's 3401-position model. The record is from RNAcentral. Lineage: Eukaryota; Fungi; Ascomycota; Dothideomycetes; Pleosporales; Didymellaceae.
GAAAAGAAACCAACAGGGAUUGCCCUAGUAACGGCGAGUGAAGCGGCAACAGCUCAAAUUUGAAAUCUGGCGUCUUUGGCGUCCGAGUUGUAAUUUGCAGAGGGCGCUUUGGCAUUGGCAGCGGUCCAAGUUCCUUGGAACAGGACGUCACAGAGGGUGAGAAUCCCGUACGUGGUCGCUAGCCUUUACCGUGUAAAGCCCCUUCGACGAGUCGAGUUGUUUGGGAAUGCAGCUCUAAAUGGGAGGUAAAUUUCUUCUAAAGCUAAAUACUGGCCAGAGACCGAUAGCGCACAAGUAGAGUGAUCGAAAGAUGAAAAGCACUUUGGAAAGAGAGUUAAAAAGCACGUGAAAUUGUUGAAAGGGAAGCGCUUGCAGCCAGACUUGCCUGUAGUUGCUCAUCCGGGUUUCUACCCGGUGCACUCUUCUACGGGCAGGCCAGCAUCAGUUUGGGCGGUUGGAUAAAGGUCUCUGUCAUGUACCUCCUCUCGGGGAGAACUUAUAGGGGAGACGACAUGCAACCAGCCCGGACUGAGGUCCGCGCAUCUGCUAGGAUGCUGGCGUAAUGGCUGUAAGCGGCCCGUCUUGAAACACGGACCAAGGAGUCUAACAUCUAUGCGAGUGUUUGGGUGUCAAGCCCGAGCGCGUAAUGAAAGUGAACGGAGGUGGGAACCUUUCGGGGUGCACCAUCGACCGAUCCUGAUGUCUUCGGAUGGAUUUGAGUAAGAGCAUAGCUGUUGGGACCCGAAAGAUGGUGAACUAUGCUUGAAUAGGGUGAAGCCAGAGGAAACUCUGGUGGAGGCUCGCAGCGGUUCUGACGUGCAAAUCGAUCGUCAAAUUUGGGCAUAGGGGCGAAAGACUAAUCGAACUAUCUAGUAGCUGGUUCCUGCCGA